Molecule: ribosomal RNA, 497 nt
Filed under: uncultured bacterium
Lineage: Bacteria
Description: partial 16S ribosomal RNA
Rfam family: Bacterial small subunit ribosomal RNA
Source: RNAcentral
GACGAACGCUGGCGGCGUGCCUAAUACAUGCAAGUUGAGCGCUGAAGGUUGGUACUUGUACCAACUGGAUGAGCAGCGAACGGGUGAGUAACGCGUGGGGCAUCUGCCUUUGAGCGGGGGACAACAUUUGGAAACGAAUGCUAAUACCGCAUAAAAACUUUAAACACAAGUUUUAAGUUUGAAAGAUGCCAUUGCAUCACUCAAAGAUGAUCCCGCGUUGUAUUAGCUAGUUGGUGAGGUAAAGGCUCACCAAGGCGAUGAUACAUAGCCGACCUGAGAGGGUGAUCGGCCACAUUGGGACUGAGACACGGCCCAAACGCCUACGGGAGGCAGCAGUAGGGAAUCUUCGGCAAUGGACGAAAGUCUGACCGAGCAACGCCGCGUGAGUGAAGAAGGGUUUCGGAUCGUAAAACUCUGUUGGUAGAGAAGAACGUUGGUGAGAGUGGAAAGCUCAUCAAGUGACGGUAACUACCCAGAAAGGGACGGCUAACUACGUG